Molecule: long non-coding RNA, 618 nt
Organism: Centruroides sculpturatus (bark scorpion)
Lineage: Eukaryota; Metazoa; Arthropoda; Arachnida; Scorpiones; Buthidae
Exons: 2
Source: RefSeq, a predicted model, not a curated record
GCAAUUUUUUCGCCGUCAUAUAGGAAUCCGAACUAUAUGAACCCGCGUUAUAGGGGGUCGACUGUUACAUAUUACGUAAUACCGUAUUUAUCGCGACAAGAAAUACAGUAAUUGCGAUAUUACAUAACACCAUAAUUAUUAUUAUUUCUCGUCACGAUAAUUAUAAGGUCCGUAAUCCUCAAAAAGGAUUUAAUCGACUAACUCUUCGCACAAUAAAUAGAUAAUGCUACUACUUAUAGAUAAUUAAAUUUAUAGUUAGUAAUCAUUCAUCAAAGUCUAUCGAAUUAUUAUUUCAUUAGUCAUAUUAUAUAAUUGUAUUUAUAAAUUUAAUUACAGGUGACCAGGAAUAUGGGAUUGAAAUGAAAUGAAAGUGUGCCUUAGUAUUAUUUUUGAGUUUACAAGCAUUACAGUAGUUUGAAAUAAGUUUGCGCUCGAACUAUUAUCUAAAAGACGACGAUUACAAAAUAUUCUGGAUACAUAAUAUCUAAAUGUAAUUUCUUCUAUGAAGAAAGCUUGUCUCCAUAAAUGGAUUUCAUAAAUAAAUAAUAUCUAUAACAUUGUAGCACUCUACAACUACUAGCGCCGUAUCUGUGAUUGAAUAAAAUAUUGUUUUCUAAA